Molecule: small RNA, 912 nt
Filed under: Pongo abelii (Sumatran orangutan)
Lineage: Eukaryota; Metazoa; Chordata; Mammalia; Primates; Hominidae
Description: retained intron
Source: RNAcentral
CUCCUCCGCCCCGGUGCGGGCCGUGCUGGAUUUCUCCGAGUAUAAUGAUGUAAGGAUGGCGGGCAGCAGGGGCGGGGGGGGGGGGUCCCAGUGGGCGCAGUCCCUUGACACUUCCGGAUACCUUCCUCUGCGGUCCGCCCACAGGUGGUAUCCAGAAGCCUAAUGAGCACCGCGAUCGGCGGGUCCCUGGAGGGGACACAGACCCCUGGCAUGUGCUAAGUGUAACACAGGCUUUAGGAUCCUCAGAAUCAACUCUUCUUAUCCGCACUGGCUCCCACUGCUUGGACAUGGCACCUGAGAGGCCCUCAGACUCCCCCAGCCUCCGCCUAGGGCGCCAGAACAUCUUCCAGCAGCUACAGACCUGGCUCAAGCUGGCAAAGGAGAGCCAGAUUAAGGGUGAAGUCUGAAUCUCAUACCCUUUCCACUCCCUGUAUGGUCACCUCAGUCUUGGACAUACUUGUUCACUGAACAAAAGAAAGCAGCUUGUUUUGAAAGAAGAAACUCCCAGGAAUUGGAAUUCAGCACCUGUUCCGCGUGUAACUGGCAUGUGUCUGCAAACAUCUUUAUUCCCAACUUAAAGUGCUUUAUUGCAGAGAGUUAUGGAAAUAUAAGUGGAUGAUUAUUCUCAUUGUAAAUAUUGGUAUUUUGAAUGUUAAAUGUCAAACAAAUGUGACUUAUGCUGGUGCCCUCCCCCUGCUGAUCAGAUUCUGGUUCAAAUUCUGCCACUCCACCUCCUGGGUUAGGGGCUUUGCUGUAAGUUUCUUUUUCUGGACUUUAGAUCCUGAACCUGUCCUUGCUUCUCAGUUUCUCUCACUGUACCCCUUUCCCUCAGUCUCUUCCUCUCUCUUUCCCCUGUCACUAUUUGUCUUUCUAAUCUCCUUCUGUUUCUCUGAAUAUCUUCAUUUCUAUCUC